Molecule: transfer-messenger RNA, 357 nt
Filed under: Christensenellaceae
Lineage: Bacteria; Bacillati; Bacillota; Clostridia; Christensenellales
Also listed under: 1 other name
Description: UBA10281 sp902797945 Standard tmRNA
Rfam family: transfer-messenger RNA
About the family: Bacterial tmRNA, also known as 10Sa RNA or SsrA, is named for its dual tRNA and mRNA-like properties. Its role is to liberate the mRNA from a stalled ribosome. To accomplish this part of the tmRNA is used as a reading frame that ends in a translation stop signal.
Source: RNAcentral
GGGGAUGCAACGGGUUCGACCGUUUGCGAGGGGAAGAGUAUAAGCGCGUCGUAGGUUUCGGCUACGUUAAAACGAAAUUUUUAAAUUUAUCUGCAGACAAUAAUCGUCUUGCAUUCGCUGCUUAAUUAAAAGCGAACGUCGGGUAUAGGCCCACCGUCGGCUUAUAUUUCGGUGUCAUUUAAGACGGACAACGGCAUUAUGAUUUUAGUUGCGGUCGUAAUGCGGCGCAAAGUAACUCACGGCGUAAAUAGUCUGCCUUUGGACGAUUUUACGCAAGGGAAAAAACAAAGGCUAAACGCGUAGAAGGCUUUUUCGAUUGUAGGCGACACAGGAGUUCGACUCUCCUCAUCUCCACCA